RNAcentral lists this ribosomal RNA (460 nucleotides) under uncultured bacterium. RNAcentral describes it as "partial 16S ribosomal RNA". It matches the Rfam family "Bacterial small subunit ribosomal RNA", at positions 338 to 795 of the family's 1533-position model. The record is from RNAcentral.
CCUACGGUGGACAGCAGUGAGGAAUAUUGGUCAAUGGGCGGAAGCCUGAACCAGCCAAGUAGCGUGCAGGAUGACGGCCCUCCGGGUUGUAAACUGCUUUUAUACGGGAAUAACGCGCCUUACGUGUAGGGCUUUGCAUGUACCGUAUGAAUAAGGACCGGCUAAUUCCGUGCCAGCAGCCGCGGUAAUACGGAAGGGCCGGGCGUUAUCCGGAUUUAUUGGGGUUAAAGGGAGCGUAGGCGGCAUGUCAAGCGUGCUGUGAAAUGGCCGGGCGCAACCCGGGCCUUGCAGCGCGAACUGGCGUGCUUGAGUCCGCGGAAAGCAGGCGGAAUUCGUGGUGUAGCGGUGAAAUGCUUAGAUAUGACGAAGAACCCCGAUUGCGAAGGCAGCUUGCUGCAGCGGAACUGACGCUGAUGCUCGAAAGCGCGGGUAUCGAACAGGAUUAGAUACCCGAGUAGUC